This is an RNA transcript of Cydia pomonella (codling moth), 7990 nucleotides long. RefSeq lists it as uncharacterized. The transcript has 2 exons. NCBI's taxonomy places the organism in Eukaryota, Metazoa, Arthropoda, Insecta, Lepidoptera, Tortricidae. The record is from RefSeq and is a predicted model, not a curated record.
GCAAUGAGUCGGAUCCAUUAAGAGGGGAUUCACCACUAUGAGUGGCUCUCGAUCUGACUCAUGGUGCCAUCUACGGCUCUCAUCUAUAGUACUUAGUAAGCUCAUGAAAGCUAUUAACCUCUCAGCGUAAGUCACUCAAGUUCUUGUCGCACAUUUAGAUAUUAAGGUAAAAUAUAAACUAUAUCAUAUAUACAUCAUAUGACAAUUUAUUAUCUAAUUGAGUUUGAUGUGGCGACAAAUUGGUGGAGAUGGCUGAGAUAAUUUGUUUUCCCAUAAAUCAGUAAAGUAUAUGAAAUUAUAUCUAAAUUAUUUAUCUAAGAACUCAGUUUUCAGCGACAUUCAUGAGUCCUAGUAUAGGAUAUGCUUAGUAUUUGCAGUCAAGAGCCUUUAGUAAGCAUAGUUGAAGCAGUAACAAACAUGCAUCAAUGAAGAAUGCAUGCAAAGUAUUUGUAGUUAAUAAGAACCUUGCAUUAGGUACCGCUGAAGUAUUAGCAUUGAUGAGUUCUCAUUCAUUAGAGGACAUAAUAUAGAGCAAGAGCCUUGUAUUAGGUACCGCUGAAGUAGUAGCAUUUAUGAGUCCUUAAGAGCAAAGGGCACAAUAUUAAGAGCCUUGUAUUAGGCACUGCUAAAGUAUCUGCAUAUAUGAGUCCUUAAGAGCAAAGGGCACAAUAUUAAGAGCCUUGUAUUAGGCACUGCUAAGGUAUCUGCAUAUAUGAGUCCUUAAGAGCAAAGGGCACAAUAUUAAGAGCCUUGUAUUAAGCACUGCUAAAGUAUCUGCAUAUAUGAGUCCUUAAGAGCAAAGGGCACAAUAUUAAGAGCCUUGUAUUAGGCACUGCUAAAGUAUCUGCAUAUAUGAGUCCUUAAGAGCAAAGGGCACAAUAUUAAGAGCCUUGUAUUAGGCACUGCUAAAGUAUCUGCAUAUAUGAGUCCUUAAGAGCAAAGGGCACAAUAUUAAGAGCCUUGUAUUAGGCACUGCUAAAGUAUCUGCAUAUAUGAGUCCUUAAGAGCAAAGGGCACAAUAUUAAGAGCCUUGUAUUAGGCACUGCUAAAGUAUCAGCAUUUAUGAGUCCUUAAAGAGUAAAGGGCAUAGUACUGACCAAGAACCUUGUAAUAGGUACCGCUGAAGUAGUAGCAUUAAUGAGUCCCUGUAUGGGACAUAGCAAAGUAAGUGAACAAGAACCUUGUAUCAGGUAAUACUGAAGUUAAUAUUAGCAAAAUUGCGUCCAUUGCAGUGGACAAUAAGAAUAAAAAAGAAAUUAAAUUAAAAUGUCAAGAUCUCUUGGGUUGAAACUUUACCAACAAUAAGAGUGUUUGAUAGCAUUUAUCGGUUAAAAUAAAGGUUUCAUAUGGAAGAAAUGAAUAUUGUUUCUCUCUCUCUCUCUCUCCUUCUACAGCUCUCUCUUCGAAGGAUUGUAUUUUGUGUUAUUAUAAGAUUUUUGAGCAAAGGUGUGUGUUAUUAAGAUGAGUUCAAGGUUCCUAGAUAUCAAAUAAGAAUAAUAAUACUAAUAACCAUAAUAUAUUUGUUGUUGUACUUAGUUUAAGAUUAAUUCUAGUAAAUUAUCGAUUAUGCGAUAGAUAAUCGAUAUGUGUUUUACUAUAGUUAAUAUAACGCUAAUCGACGAUUCGUUCAUGAGCAAUCGAUUUGGUAAUCGAUAUGAAAUCUUGCACUGGUAACACUGGAGAUUUUGUUUUCAUUGCGCAAACCGUAACUUUGUUAAACUAAUUCCUGUUCCUCAUUGGCUAAACCGAAAGCUGAAUUUUCUUAUUGGUUGAUGGUGGGAGCUGCGUGUCAUUGUAAUGAGAUAUCAUUUUAAGUAUUUGAAAACCUACUUAUUAAACUAAAUUGUUUAUUUUUGUUGGACUAGGAAAAUAAAGUUUUUACCGCCAUGCCGGCAGCGUUCCCAGUAUCCCAGUAGGAUUCGAACAAGUUUGCGUGUAAAGUAUAUAAGAUUCCAGGAAAGUAAGCUACGCAUAGUGAAAUACAGCGAUAUACUUAAGAUAGCAGCCGGUAUUUUGGUUAUAUUGAUGAUAUCAAUACUUUUAUAUAAAAGAAGCCUCGAGGUAAGCAACAAUAAAUGAAUUGUAUUGUAAACUCAUUGGCUAGAGCUGUAAUGUAAAUAUGGAAAGGCCAAUUACAAAUUGAUAGCUUUAGAUAAUUUCCAUCAUCGUUUGAGGAAACUUUAUUUAAUAAUCUGUACAAACAAGUCACUUUCGGCCAUUAGUGUAAAGUUAUGAGUAUUACGAGUUAAUAUCGCCAUUUUGUUUUGGGUUAUUUGCAGGGAGCAAGUUUAUGAAUACUUGCUCAUUGUAAUUUCACAAAAUGGAAAAUUUCUUGCGAGAUCGAUUGGAACUAAGAAUAAAAAGACUUGAUGAAAACUUAGAGAGCGCAGAGGCGCUAAUAUUAAAGUGUAAUUCCGGAACGGACGUCAUGGUACAAGAAGUAAUGAAAUUACAAUUAAGUAUGAAACAAUCUCUGAAUAGUAUCCAGUUGGACAUUGACAAAUAUAUUGUAACAAAUAAUGAAAAUACAGAUAUCUUACGCUCUGCACUCGAGAAGCAGAUGAAAGCAGAGGAGCUUCUUAUAGAAUUGGAAUUAAUUCUCAAUAUUCAUUCUAAUUCUCAUAAUAAAAUCUCAACAAAAACUGUGAAACUUCCUAGAAUUGAGCUGCUCAAAUUUGAUGGAGAUAUUCUGAAAUGGACGGAGUUCUGGGACCGGUUCACGGCCAAUGUACACUCCCAAAACUUAGACGAUGUCGAAAAGUUGGCUUAUCUGAUAAGUUUACUGGAAAAGGAGGCCAAGGAGGCAGUCCAAGGCCUAACAAUGACAAAUGCUAACUACCAAGUAGCAAUAGACACACUUAAGACCAGAUAUGGGAGUACUCAACAAGUAAUUGAUUCGCAUUAUGAAGCCCUAAAUAGAACUAGUCGCUGCGAAUAUACAGCUGAAGACUGUAGGAAGACAUUAAAUAAAAUCGAGAACCAUUUAAGAGUACUUUCAUCACUAGGGGAGAAUAUAGAGAGCAAUUCAUUUAGGAGCAUUAUAUUAGACAAAUUUCCAGAGAAGGUAAUCUACGAACUUAACUUAUUAUUAGUGGAUGACCAAACAAUAGCGGGGAUCAGAAAUACAUUAAACAAAAUUGUGGUGGCAUUGGAGAAGUCUAAGACUAAUCCACCUCUACAAAAGGACCAUACUGCCACCACAGAUGCCUUCAUUUCAAUAGAAAACAGACCUCGAUACCACAGAGGGAAAAGGAUACACACACAGACAACAUCCCUUCACAAAAUGGAUAACACACCCAGGAACAACAAUAGGAAAAGACCAGCUAAGUCUAAUACUGACAGAGAAAUGAAGAAACCCAAGUUGAGUUGCAUAUUUUGCUCGGGACCGCACUUUAAUGAUACAUGCCCAUCUUAUAAGACACCUGAUGACAGAAAGAAGAAACUAUCAAACCGAUGUUUUAUGUGCUUAAAGUUAGGGCAUCGUGCACAUAAAUGCAGGAGACAUAAGAAAUGCUAUCACUGCAAGGGCAACCACAACCGAGCCCUAUGCCCAAAGAGAGAACCAGGUAAGAGUGAACCACACCAUGCUGUUACGCUGAACUCAACUGGCCAUUGUUUUAAGCGGAAAUCUUUUUUACAGACUGCAACAGCGCAGGUGGUUCACAAAACCAAGACCCUAAAUUGUAGACUCCUUCUUGACUCCGGUAGUUCAAGAAGCUAUAUUACCACGGACUUGGCAAAACACCUGGAUUUGACAUCAGCAAAUGUAGACUAUUUACUGAUAUUUAUUUUUGGAACCGACAAGCCUAAUGAGACUUUGAGUCCUUGCACAGAUAUUACUAUCAAGACAAAAAGAGGAGUAGAAAAAAGUAUCCAUGUGAAUGUUGUUCCUCGCAUUACUGAUAGGAUACCAAUUCAAGAGAUUCCUAAAAUAGAUAUUGUGGAUAUACCAGCAGAUAGUUACUCAAAGAAUCAAUCAGUAAACAUGCUCAUUGGUAACGAUUACUACUUCUCCUUUAUCAGGAAUAACAAGAUACAGAUUGACACCGAUCUUUACCUAAUAGAUACAGAUUUCGGAUGGAUCAUGUCUGGACACCAUGAUAAGGACAAUCAAGAGAAUGAUAACAUCUUAGCAGUUGUUACCUACUACCAAAACAAUGUAGGAUGUAAGUGUUACACAGAACCUGACCUCCCUUUAAGACAAUCGGAUUUAAAGUUCCUUUGGAGUUUAGAGAACAUAGGAAUAACUGACUUAGUAAAGGGCACUAGAGAGGAAGAGGCAGUUAGAAACUUUAAUGACACUGUCAAGUAUCAAGAAGGUCGUUACUAUGUAAAAUGGCCAUGGACAACAUACCCACCACAUGUACCUACUAACUACGGGUUAGCAUACGGAAGACUCAAGGGAUUAGUACAGCGAUUGGAUAAGCCCACACUGCAAGAAUAUAAUGAAAUAUUGAUGGAACAACUUAAGGCCGAGAUAAUAGAAGUUGUCCAAGUGGAUUCAGAUGUUCGAAACCAGUCUGUGCCUCCAAUUAACUACCUGCCACAUCAUAUAGUAAAACAGAGUACCAAGCGCGGUCGUAUAGUAUAUGACGGUUCAGCAAGGUUAAAGGAUCAGCAAAGCCUUAACGAGUGCUUGUAUAAAGGACCUUGUAUGCUUCAAGACCUGACGUCUCUGCUCCUGAAUUUUAGAAUACAUAAAAUAGGUAUAAUUGCAGAUGUUGAAAAGGCCUUUUUGCAAAUUGGUCUACAGGAAGAAGACAGGGAAGUGACAAGAUUCUUAUGGCUAAAGGACAUCAACAAACCACUAUCCGAUGAAAACAUACUACACCUAAGAUUUUGCAGAGUGCCUUUCGGAAUUAUUUCCAGCCCUUUCUUACUGACGGCAACUAUACGUUACCACAUUUCUCAAAAGGAUAGCAUGCUACUCAAGAAGGUAGCAAAUAAGUGUUAUGUUGAUAAUUUGGUGACUGGCACAGACACUUUAGAAGAAGCUGUCCAACUAUAUGAUGAAUCCAAGAAGGCAUUCGAAGAGCUCUCUAUGAACCUAAGAGAUUGGACAUCAAAUGAUAAAGCUUUCAGUCGAAAAGUACCACAAAAAUAUAGAGCUAAAGAGUCAGACAAAAUCAAAGUCUUAGGGUUGCUGUGGAAUAAAGAGCAAGAUGUACUUACUUUGAACAUAAAUAAAGAAGUGUUUACUGAUAGAUCAACAGACAAAGUUACAAAAAGAGAAGUUUUAAGUAUAUUAGCAUCAUUAUAUGAUCCUUGCGGUAUAGUCUCUCCACUACUUAUGCCAAUAAAACUGUUUCUUCAGGAAUUAUGGAGAAAAGACUAUAAAUGGGAUUCACCAGUAUCGCAGGAGCUGUUACUAAAGUGGAAGAAAAUUGAGAAGAACCUAAGUGAUAUAAAAGAAGUUGAAGUACCACGAUAUGUUGAGGCAAAUGUCAAUAAAGGAUCUGAAAAUGAGUUACAUUGCUUUGCAGAUGCAGCUAAAGACUCAUACGCAGCUGUUGUAUACUUACGGUCAAGUGACGGCUCCAACAUUAAGACAUCAUUUUUAUUGUCAAAAAAUAGAGUUGCUCCAUUGGAUAAGAAAAUGAAAGAUGGUAAGAAAACUGAAAGAAAAAUGACUAUUCCACAAUUAGAACUACUCGGCUGUGUUAUUGGAAACCGCUUACUGACAUACAUAAAAGAGACUAUAGAACUCCCCAUUACUAGACAAUACCUGUGGACAGACAGUUUAGUGGUUCUCAACUGGAUUCACUCGAAUAAGCUUUUACCACCAUUCAUAGCCAACAGAACAGAAGAAAUAAAGCGAAAUGUUGGCUUAGAAACAUACUAUGUAAAUACUAAAGAGAAUCCAGCUGAUAUUGCAACGCGACCUGAACUUUGGAUUCAAAAGAAGAGUGUAUGGCUAGAAGGACCAGCCUUCUUGUCCAAAGAAAAGAGUAAAUGGCCAAAAGAUAUUCAUCUUAAAGGCCAUCAAGAAGUAGCAUCUUUUCCUGCAGUAUUAGAGGGUCCAAAGGAUCAGUCUUCAGAUAUUGACAUACCUUUGGAAUCGGUUAAUGAUAAUGAACAAAGGUCUGACCAGAAUGAAGUAACAUCUCAGGUUAAAGAAAUAAAAAACCUGCAACAAAGAUUCUUUCCAGAUGAAAUAAAAGGCAAACGGACAGACCUCAGUAGAAAUCUUGGGCUAUUUACAGAUGUUGACGGAUUGUUGAGAUGCAAAGGACGAAUGAUGCAUGCUAAUUGGUCGUAUGACAUGAGGUAUCCAGUUCUUUUGCCUAGGGACUGCGAAUUCACAAAGAAAGUAGUAAAAGAAAUACAUGAGAAGAAUUACCAUGUAGGAGCAUCUCAUACUCUCGACUUAGUUCGCCAGCAAUACUGGAUUCCAAAAGGAAGACCGGUUGUGGAGAGAAUACUAAGAAAAUGUACUCAAUGUGUAAAGCACGGUGGAGGCCCGUACCCACUACCUCCAACACCGGCUUUACCAGCAGAACGUGCGAAUUAUAGCACACCAUUCACUUAUACCGGACUUGAUUAUUUUGGACCUGUCUAUGUGGCAACUGAAAAUGGACAGCAAAAGAGAUGGAUUUGUCUUAUGACUUGUUUAGCUGUAAGAGCAAUACAUUUGGAAGUUGUUAAGAAUUUGACUGCAGAUGAGUGUAUUAUGGCACUGAGAAGAUUUAUGUCAACAAGAGGAGUACCAGUAGCCAUAGUCUCAGACAAUGCACUAUACUUCAAAUUGAGCUCUGAAAUCCUGAAGAGUGACUACUGCAUCAAGAAUAACAUCAAAUGGAAAUUUAUUCCCCAAUUAGCGCCAUGGCAUGGUGCGUUUUAUGAAAGAUUAGUGGGGUUAGUGAAGCAUUGUAUGAAGAGAACUUUGGAGAAACUGCUACUGAAUGACACACAACUUCUUACUGUCAUUAAGGAGAUUGAGGCUGUUGUUAACAGUCGGCCUUUGACACGAGUAGGUCCUGACAUGGAUAUAGUUCUGAGACCAUGUGACUUUCUAUCUCUAGGACGUUGUCUAAACUUGGAGAUAUCAGAGAGUUAUAGACCUGACCAAGAUGACACUCGGGCGAAACAGAACUUGUUAGACAGUUGGAAAAGAGGUCAGAACAUGUUGAAGCACUUCAAGAACAUGUUUAUAAAUCAAUACUUGACAAGCCUAAGAGAAAGGUACCAACAUAGUCAUAAACAACCAAGGGUGAAAUCACACAAGGAACCGAGUGUUGGAGAUCUAGUUCAGAUAAAGGGCGAAUCUAAAAAUAGAAACACCUGGAGGGUUGGCAAAAUCGUACAACUGAUAAGAGGUUCCGAUGGAUACUGUAGAGUGGCUCAAGUUCAAGUAGGAGGAAGUAUUUUCACAAGGUCUAUCGGGCACCUGUAUCCCUUAGAAUUGGAAGAGCCACCUUCGGCACCAGUAGAGACGAUUGAGACGGUAGAGCCUCAGCCAAGCGUUAUAGACACUAUACAAAACGGACUUGGUACUACUGAUAUAGAUGAGAUGCUAGAAGAGACUGAGCAAAGAGAAAUCUCGACAGAAAGUCAAGGAAGUGCAGAUAUAGUUUCUAAUCAUGACACAGAAGAGAGAGAGAGUAACACAGAAAAUUCUGAGGAGAGGAUGUCAACUACAUCACAACAACCAGAAGAGGAUAGUUUAAAGACUUCUCAUCCAACCGAUAUCAUUAGUGAUGUACCCGAUAUAGAGACGCAAGAAGAGAGUCAACCACAAGAGGUGACGAGGCGAGCUGCGGCUAUUCGAGCACGAGAAAAGAUCGCACAAUGGACUCGUCAGCUUUUCGCCUUUUUGUAAAUCAGCCUCGUAGCUGGGAGUGUCGCGAAUCCACGCGAUUCCUAAUAAGCAGUUAUGGAAGAACACAUGAUGAAGGAUUUGAAUAGAGAUGUAGUAGAAGUUAAUUAGUUUGAAGAUUGUGUGAGUGCUGUAAGCCAGAGAGAUAAUGUAUUAAGCCAGAAGGAUCCCCCU